RNAcentral lists this ribosomal RNA (255 nucleotides) under Clostridioides difficile. RNAcentral describes it as "partial 23S ribosomal RNA". It matches the Rfam family "Bacterial large subunit ribosomal RNA", at positions 1278 to 1531 of the family's 2925-position model. The record is from RNAcentral. Lineage: Bacteria; Bacillati; Bacillota; Clostridia; Peptostreptococcales; Peptostreptococcaceae.
CAGGAUGGGAGUGAGAAUGUUGGCAUGAGUAGCGAGAUGUGGGUGAGAAUCCCACAGGCCGUAAACCCAAGGUUUCCAGGGGAAGGUUCGUCCGCCCUGGGUUAGUCGGGACCUAAGCUGAGGCCGACAGGCGUAGGUGAUGGACAACAGGUUGAUAUUCCUGUACUACCGAUAACCGGUUGAGAGAAGGGAUGACACAGUAGGAUAAGCUAAGCACCCUGUUGGUUAUGUGUGCCCAAGCAUUGAGGCAGUCAA